CCUACGGGGUGCAGCAGUGGGGAAUAUUGGGCAAUGGGCGCAAGCCUUACCCAGCAAUGCCGCGUGAGGGAAGAAGGCUUUCGGGUUGUAAACUUCUUUUAAGAGGGAAGAGUAGAUGACGGUACCUCUUGAAUAAGCCACGGCUAACUACGUGCCAGCAGCCGCGGUAAUACGUAGGUGGCAAGCGUUGUCCGGAUUUACUGGGUGUAAAGGGCGUGUAGCCGGGCAGGUAAGUCAGAAGUGAAAUCCCAAGGCUUAACCUGGGAACUGCAUUUGAAACUGUUGGUCUUGAGUGUCGGAGAGGCAAGCGGAAUUCCUAGUGUAGCGGUGGAAUGCGUAGAUAUUAGGAGGAACACCAGUGGCGAAGGCG
RNAcentral lists this ribosomal RNA (370 nucleotides) under uncultured bacterium. Its description in RNAcentral is "partial 16S ribosomal RNA". It matches the Rfam family "Bacterial small subunit ribosomal RNA", at positions 338 to 723 of the family's 1533-position model. The record is from RNAcentral.